UGGAAUUUGGUCUUUUCCGGC
Molecule: microRNA, 21 nt
Filed under: Mus musculus (house mouse)
Lineage: Eukaryota; Metazoa; Chordata; Mammalia; Rodentia; Muridae
Description: mmu-miR-7216-3p
Source: miRBase by way of RNAcentral